UAAUAAUGCAGGUAGAGAUACGCUGUAUACUCGUGCAAGCGAAUUAACGUUUAAGCGCUAUGUAAGAGCGCCGCCCACGAGGCCGCCGUAAGGCGGUUUUUU
RNAcentral lists this small RNA (102 nucleotides) under uncultured Phascolarctobacterium sp. Its description in RNAcentral is "DUF3800-I RNA". It matches the Rfam family "DUF3800-I RNA". Rfam says of the family: Actinobacteria, Firmicutes, Fusobacteria, Proteobacteria (1 example), Tenericutes (2 examples). Terminator (Clostridia) The record is from RNAcentral. Lineage: Bacteria; Bacillati; Bacillota; Negativicutes; Acidaminococcales; Acidaminococcaceae.